Long non-coding RNA from Panicum virgatum (switchgrass), 2085 nucleotides. RefSeq lists it as uncharacterized. The transcript has 6 exons. NCBI's taxonomy places the organism in Eukaryota, Viridiplantae, Streptophyta, Magnoliopsida, Poales, Poaceae. The record is from RefSeq and is a predicted model, not a curated record.
AUCGUCCCCCCCCCCCCAAACUUCUCUUGCUUCUCAUCCCUCUCUUUCUUGUUCUGUUCCCUCUCACACAUCCUCCCCUAACGAACUCCUUCCCCAACGUCUCCAAUCUUGGCGUCCGCUGGCCAGCUGCUGUAGGUGCUCUCUUGGCCAGCUUCACUGGUCUCGGCAUCCACCAAUGAUUGACUUAGUUGCUAGCAAUGACAAAUAUUCCCUGCAGACAUAACUGCACAGGUUCAGACCAUAGUGGGAGAUCACCUAUUUGGACGAAAAGCUCCAACUGAAUUGUUCACACUUUCCACAUCAGCUUUAUCAUUCCUGUGGGUGAUCAAUUGGUGCUAUGCGCAAGAAAGAGGCGAGUGAUUCCCCUUAUGAGAUUUGUUGUUAUAUCCUAUUUCCGAUAUCUUUCAAGUCCGUGAGUUUGCAAUUUAGAACUUUUUUUAAAAAAAAUAAGUGCAAUUUAGAACACUUAUUCUAUUUGUCCAGACAACAACCUACUUUUGUUAGGAAAGUACAUCCUUUUAUUUAGUUUCAUGAGAGUAAUUUGUCAUCUAUUAAUAACUUUUAGAUGGGUGGCGUGCAAACAAACAAUUUGAUCAUAAAUAACUAAGAAAAUAACACAACAUCAAUUUGAACAGAAUAAGAAAGCAUUUUAACGAUCACUUUGGCCUGUGGUUAUCAGAAUACCAAGAACAUGGUCAGUUUUGUCUGUGCACCUGUCACUGACCUGUGGUUAUUGAUCACAUUUUGAUUGACUUGAGCAAGCACAAUGAAAAAUAGUUAAUACUGACAAACAAUUUUCAUUCAGAUCUUGCACUUCUCUUUACUGUUUGAAUAAUGCGGAAACUAAACCUUUGUCCAGUAAUAGUUCUCUUAUGCAUCACAAUUUCACGUAUUGACCCAUCCUAUAGCUAGGUCCAUGUACUUUGAUUUCAGAUGGUAUUAGAAAAAAGGUUAGAGAAGUUCAUUUAUAUGUAAAUUUACAUAUAUUUGUUUUCUGCUAUAUCUUACAAUUCAAUGACAAAACAAAUUACGAUAAAGUUCUUAGCUACCAAAUCCUCACUGAUAACAACUAUACAUUUCCCUUAGCACCAUGGUCUGAUGAUGCUAGAUGCCAAACACAAGCAUGGAAAGUUCCAAUAACAAUAGAUGUCCAUGGUAUUCCUCCUUAUGCAUUUCACAUAAAAAGUCUUUCUGUAUUGCUUGAUCCCUACUGUGACAUCGAAACCUAUACCAUGGACAAAAAAAACAGGGAUUUGUACUGUCGAAGGGACUACAUUGAGUGUCAAUUCCAUCCCAAACACAGGUUUCCUCUCAUACCCACGUCGCACUGGUUACGAAACAGUCAUACAUACAUUCCCUGUUACCAUGAAAACUAGCUUGUUAUCUGUACAAAAAAAACUCCUCUGAUUGGAUACCACCUGCUUCCCUCAAUGUACACUCACACAAUGAAAAUUCAUCUCACACUAAAGGUAACUAUUAUUACUCCACUACAACAACUUACUAUACCUAAAACCUUAUUCAUAACUCUUUCAUUCCAGAUCCAGAAAAAGAUCUAGGCUCAGACAUGGUGAGGGAAUGCAACAGGGCUGUGUACGAAGGCCAGCUACAUUUUUUCCCUCUCUUCAAUAAAUAAACUACAUUUCUUUCUGCACAACUAUAUUUUUAUACACAAUUGUGCCAACAUUACAGCUGAAAUAGAAGAUGAAAGAAGAAUGAAGAAUACCUACCUUCCAUGGCUUCACAUAUUCUGGGGAAAGUUCGGACGAUGAGUACCCAAAUGAAGCCUACUAUUACACCCAGAUCGCGAACCAAAGAACUGAUAGUUCAAUUCAAUAGGGUCAAAGCAGUUCGAAAAACUAUCCAGAUCUGCACUCAUCAACAAGACAACAGGCAAUAUUGUUCCUAAGGCUUGGACGACUCAUCUUUUGAUAUUAAUGCAUAUAUCUAUGCAUGCCAUAUGUGUAUAUAUGUAUAUACAUACAUAUACCUAUGUCAGUACUUAAACUUUCAAUGUAGUCCAAAAAUCAAUGAUCACUGCUUAUUUACAAGCGCCUUAUGUAAUAUAUUCGAACCCUCUAAAACCUA